RNAcentral lists this ribosomal RNA (275 nucleotides) under uncultured Spirochaeta sp. Its description in RNAcentral is "partial 16S ribosomal RNA". It matches the Rfam family "Bacterial small subunit ribosomal RNA", at positions 1107 to 1382 of the family's 1533-position model. The record is from RNAcentral. Lineage: Bacteria; Pseudomonadati; Spirochaetota; Spirochaetia; Spirochaetales; Spirochaetaceae.
GCUGUCUGUUGCCACCACGAGAGGUGGGGACUCAGGCGGAACUGCCGGUGACAAACCGGAGGAAGGUGGGGACGACGUCAAGUCAUCAUGGCCCUUAUGUCCUGGGCUACACACGUGCUACAAUGGCCGGUACAGAGCGCAGCGAGGCCGCGAGGCGGAGCGAAUCGCUUAAAGCCGGUCCCAGUACGGAUUGGAGUCUGCAACCCGACUCCAUGAAGUUGGAAUCGCUAGUAAUCGCGCAUCAGCAUGGCGCGGUGAAUACGUUCCCGGGCCUU